This 460-nucleotide ribosomal RNA is filed under the name uncultured bacterium. RNAcentral describes it as "partial 16S ribosomal RNA". It matches the Rfam family "Bacterial small subunit ribosomal RNA", at positions 338 to 795 of the family's 1533-position model. The record is from RNAcentral.
CCUACGGGAGGCAGCAGUGAGGAAUAUUGGUCAAUGGACGAGAGUCUGAACCAGCCAAGUAGCGUGAAGGAUGACUGCCCUAUGGGUUGUAAACUUCUUUUAUAUGGGAAUAAAGUGGUCCACGUGUGGGAUUUUGUAUGUACCAUAUGAAUAAGGAUCGGCUAAUUCCGUUCCAGCAGCCGCGGUAAUACGGAGGGUCCGAGCGUUAUCCGGAUUUAUUGGGUUUAAAGGGAGCGUAGGUGGAUUUUUAAGUGAGUUGUGAAAGUUUGCGGCUCAACCGUAAAAGUGCGGUUGAAACUGGCAGUCUUGAGUACAGUAGAGGUGGGCGGAAUUCGUGGUGUAGCGGUGAAAUGCUUAGAUAUCACGAAGAACUCCGAUUGCGAAGGCAGUUCACUGGACUGCAACUGACGCUGAGGCUCGAAAGUGUGGGUAUCAAACAGGAUUAGAUACCCGAGUAGUC